GCGCGGAGGAGUGCUGUUCGUGUGUUCGAGUCCCUGGGUUGCUUCCUGGGGUCUGUGGUGCUGGGUGUGCUAUCUGCGUGUGAUUCUCUAGCGAGAGAUUGUGGGCGAGUGACCGAGUGGGCAAGGGGCCGUCACUGUGUGUGCGUGAUUUUGACAGUGUGUGGUGGUAGCUUCUGACUCCGCGUGGGUCGUUGAAUGUAUGACUGGGACCGUUUAGCGGUGGAUACACAACUGUGUGCGGCUGUGGAAGAUUGCCUCAUCCGUUACGUUCCCAUUUCCGUGGAACAACAGUUUUACCAGAAGGUUUCGAAGGAACCUUAAAGUUUGGAAGCGCGGCUUUGGUGUCAUCAAAUGUGAGAAGCCCUGGACUUUACACAUCCCGAGCCAGUGUGAUCCAGUAUGAUUGGGAGUCCGAGUGCCAGAUGCCGGUCAGGACCUGUUAUGCUGGGUCUCAGAAUGCGGAAACUCUCCCUGUCCGAGGUGGAACAGUUUGUCCUUGAGUGAGGACUGGAGUCCUGAGUGACUCUUUUGAUUUGAUCCUGUUUCCCUCAAACCUGAGAUGGGAGCCUCACUGUAUUGCCCAGGCUGGUCUUGAACUCCGGAGCUCAAGUGAUCGUCUUGCUUCAGCCUUGCAAAAUGAUGGUGAAGCUGCAUCAUUGUCUGGGGUAAAUACCUGAGGUUCGUUGUCUCACGCCAAGGGAAUCAAGGACGUGGACACACAAGAAAUGGAGUCCCUGUCUGACCGGGCCAUGUUGUAUGUUCCUUGCUGUACACGUGGUUGACAAAGAAAAGGGAAGAUGGAGCUGCGAUGUUGGACAUGCCUGGCCCCCAGGUAGCUUUUUCCUAUUGGCACAGCUGCUGGCAUUCACCCGUGCAAACUUCCAGCUUGCUUAUCUAUGUCUGCA
RNAcentral lists this long non-coding RNA (905 nucleotides) under Homo sapiens (human). RNAcentral's name for it is "non-protein coding ZNF582-AS1:14". Lineage: Eukaryota; Metazoa; Chordata; Mammalia; Primates; Hominidae. The record is from RNAcentral.